AUCACGUGGUGUCAGGCUGUCUUAUUACAGUUUGGUCAACAAAAAAUUCGGGAAUACUUUUCCAGAAAACUUGUGACGUCAGCACGCUCUUAACCGUGCGAAAUCAGAUGAGAUGUCUGCGUCUCAACUUCCGCAUUUUUCUGAAGGUCA
This is a non-coding RNA of Caenorhabditis elegans, 150 nucleotides long. NCBI's taxonomy places the organism in Eukaryota, Metazoa, Nematoda, Chromadorea, Rhabditida, Rhabditidae. The record is from Ensembl.